Cryptotermes secundus is the source of this 3375-nucleotide long non-coding RNA. RefSeq lists it as uncharacterized. The transcript has 3 exons. The record is from RefSeq and is a predicted model, not a curated record. Lineage: Eukaryota; Metazoa; Arthropoda; Insecta; Blattodea; Kalotermitidae.
GCUACACGUUUCAGUAAUAUUGAACAUACCGGUGCAUCAGUCACCAACCAUUACGGAACUGUGUGACGUGUGUGACUGAGUGCUCGGAAAAGACGUUUGAUGCAGCUGAAAUGUUAUUUAUUUGUAUGCGAAGAAGAGGUCUAGGAGGAAGAGUAGCAGGAGGAUGAUAAGAAGCAGAAGAAGAGGUUGCUCUUCUUUGUACGGUUCUGGUAUCUCGAUGCUACGUCCAUGACAGACAAUGUUGCCAUUCAUUCAGUCACGGUGAGCGGUCAGCAGAAGCCUCAUAUAACAAUUAGCCUGCAAUGUAAGGUACAACGUACUUUGAAAAAUUGGAAUGGAUGAAGAGGGUCAUUGUGUUGAACGUGUAACAUCAGAAUUACCAGAAGACUCAUUUUACUUUUCAAAACAUUAAUUCUUUAAGGCAAAAUUAUAAGUACUUAGCAUUAAAAUAAUACAGCAUCUUUUCCACAGAGCGUGCUUAUGUGUUCCUUAUGGUUUUCGCAAUGAACAGCGACUGUUUCCCUAAACAGCAUUAACCGGUUGGGCUUUGUAGCGGAGACGUAAUGGAUUUCCUGUCAGGUACGGACUGAAUUUUUAUAUAGGACCACAUACACACACAGGAGCACGCACAUUAACCCUUUACCGCCCUUUACGGUCCAGCUGUUACAAUAUAUACACCUGCUUUAACAAAUUAAACUCUUCAUACUUAACAGAGUGUAAAUUUAUGUGUUUCGCAUUGUUCUCAUAGUGAACAGCGAAUAUUUCCCUAAACCGCAUUAAAAAGUCGAUCUUUGUAAAAGAGAAACAUUAAGUUUUCUGAGAGCCGGGAACUGCAUUUUUAAGCAUUAUAUUAAUUUCAAACUCGUAGGUUAAUCAUGAAAGUGUAACUGUAAUAUACAGGUAGAACAUAUUCUUAAUAUUUUAGAUGUGAUAAUACAAAAUCUCUGUUGAUGUUAACGCGUGUAGCCGUUCUGCUUGCUGUAACUUCGGAAACACUGCAUUUUGCACAAAGAGUUUGGAAGGACUCUCGGAACAAGCAGCAACUCUCUCCCCAAGAAGCAUAAAACAGUUGGCCUUUAUGAUGUACAGUUUUAAUCACUCUAAAAGAGAAACAUUUUCUGGGGUAUGACGCCCUUUAUUUCGGUAGGCGUUCACGUUACUCACUGGUUCUGCUUUCCGAUUUCUUCUUGUUUGUUGUUUACUUGACUUAGCUUUCUACCCUGAAGAUGGAGGCAGUAUGUUCCUCGGAAACAUAGUUUAACUUCUGUAAGGCUACAUGAAUCACAUCCGGGAAGACGUGUCACCGUUGUGACAACACAACAGCUGAUAGUGAUCAAGCUUUUUGGAAAUAUAUUCUUGUAUAUUUCGUCAAAGUUUAAUCGUCCAGUGAUUUAUUAUUGAAAUGUCGGUUAGGUUCUUUCUCUCGGCUCAGUUUUAUUCUUGCAUUUAUUUCCCCAGUCUUCUUGUUCCAAAGUUUUUGAAAGCUAAUAUAUUCAUGCGCUUGAGGUGGGGAAGGAAGGUUCCUGGAACGUGCAGUGGAUGUUGAACAGUUGGGUGGUGAUUGAUGGCAAGUGUAAUGCUUUGGCCCGGCUCGUAUUAAUGUCGUUGAAACUUCACAGUUAAAAUUCACACAUUUAUCCCUCACCCACGUUUAUUCUGCACAAUCGCUUCGCGUUUGGAUUAAAAUCGCCAAGGUUAACUUUGCUACAAAUUAGGACUUUUUUUUUAAACACUUCUCUCGCCUCAUUAGAGCUGGUAGACAUUUUCUGAAACAUGUCUGAAGCUACGUCAUAUAUUGAGUAGGCAACCUCACGGAAGAAAAGUCCCUGUGUGUUCAACGAGAUCCCUGGCAUGGCAAUUGUAUGUUGGGAAUAGAAUCUACUGAUUCUGAAACGAUGACUUAAAUGUAUAUUACUAUCUGAUGAUGACGUAACCUCAAAUAUAUUUUAGGCACAGCAUAUCUAUAUAGGCAAAAGAGUCUCUCUGCUUAACUAAUUAAGCACUACGCCGUGAAGGCGUAUGGAGGACGGGAUCUAUAGAUCCAUACAUUCUUGACCUUGACACUAGUUGGCAAUUGGUAAUUAGCUCAUGCCCUAGCCGCUUAACCCACGGAAGAAAGCCCUCGAUACCAAUUGGCUAGAAGACCGGGUGGAACAGAGAACUGGUCUGGACGACGUGGAGAAGAGAAAAAUCUCGCCUCUACCGGGACUCAAACUACGACCCUUCGGACGUCCAGGCCAUAACCAAUCGCUGUAUCGAUUGAGCUAUCCUCUCUCCAGUAAUAAAUGUAAUUUAACAUACUUAAUAACAUAUCAGGUAUGAAAUUACCUUUUAAACUCACUCACAUUUCACCGUGAAAUAAUGAGUUUAUUGAUAAAAUUGGUAUUAUUUUAAAGGUAAUUUUAUAGUACAGUAUAACACAACUGGAUGAAUUCCUUAAAAAUGUCAGAUUUAUUUAGAAUUAAUCAAAUAAUGGUGGAUAAUUUUUUUAAAAGAAAACCAGAAAGUAGAGGAGAAGUUGGAAGAACCAAACAGAGAUGUCUGGAAGAUGUAGGUAGUGGAUUACGAGAAGCUAAAGGGUAAAGAGAAGAAAGUGGGUCUGUAGGGUAAAAUGACAAGUAAGAGAGAAGAUCGUGCUUCUGCUUGAAGGAAGCGAAAAUUAUUAGAGGACCACAGAGCCAAGUGCUGUGGACCCUGAGGACUCAGGUCGUGCAGUUAUUCAGAGCCUGAAUAUCAGUUACGAAGUAGUUAAGAUAUGUAAAGGUUCGGCCACACAGAGCGCUACGCUAUGUUCGCUACGUACGCUACGUACGCUGUGUACACUCUGCGACCCAGCUAACAUACGGAACAUAGCGUACGUAGCGCUCUGUGUGGCCGAACCUAAAGACUGGUAUUCGAAUAGGAGACCUCCUGAAUGCCAGAUUCGUAGCACUGAGCGCUGUUCGGUAUGCGACACUCAGAAUUCUCUCCAGUAGGUUACGAAUGAAUCAUGACCGUUUCCUUCCACAUCCUUCCCAUUCCGUUGCCAAGCAACAGCGAAGCAUUGAACGUCAUGUGGUCUGAGUUACUUACAGUGUCGCCAAAAGAAAUACAAAUAAAUAAUAAAAUAUAAUAUAUCCGGAAGGUCGCGGGCUCGAUUCCUCAUGGCAUUACUAGAUUUUUCAGUUGAUACAAUCCUUCCAGGAGUCGGGUUAGAGCAGUCGGUAUAGCGACUGGCCACAGGUUGGACGACCGGGGGAUCGAAGUUCGAGUUCCGGGAGGGUCAAGAAUAUUCUCCUCUCCAUGUCCUUUAGACCGGCUCUGGGUCCAACCCAGCCUCCUGUCCAAUGUUUACCUUGGACACUUUCCCCGUGAGUAAAGCGGCAGGGGCGUGAA